Molecule: ribosomal RNA, 2905 nt
Filed under: Klebsiella michiganensis KCTC 1686
Lineage: Bacteria; Pseudomonadati; Pseudomonadota; Gammaproteobacteria; Enterobacterales; Enterobacteriaceae
Description: bacterial LSU rRNA
Rfam family: Bacterial large subunit ribosomal RNA
Source: RNAcentral
UUAAGCGACUAAGCGUACACGGUGGAUGCCCUGGCAGUCAGAGGCGAUGAAGGACGUGCUAAUCUGCGAAAAGCGUCGGUAAGGUGAUAUGAACCGUUACAGCCGGCGAUGUCCGAAUGGGGAAACCCAGUGCAAUUCGUUGCACUAUCGUUAACUGAAUACAUAGGUUAACGAGGCGAACCGGGGGAACUGAAACAUCUAAGUACCCCGAGGAAAAGAAAUCAACCGAGAUUCCCCCAGUAGCGGCGAGCGAACGGGGAGCAGCCCGGAGUCUGAAUCAGCUUGUGUGUUAGUGGAAGCGUCUGGAAAGUCGCAGGGUACAGGGUGAUACUCCCGUACACUAAAACACACAGGUUGUGAACUCGAAGAGUAGGGCGGGACACGUGGUAUCCUGUCUGAAUAUGGGGGGACCAUCCUCCAAGGCUAAAUACUCCUGACUGACCGAUAGUGAACCAGUACCGUGAGGGAAAGGCGAAAAGAACCCCGGCGAGGGGAGUGAAAAAGAACCUGAAACCGUGUACGUACAAGCAGUAGGAGCCCACUGGGUUGGGUGACUGCGUACCUUUUGUAUAAUGGGUCAGCGACUUAUAUUCUGUAGCAAGGUUAACCGUAUAGGGGAGCCGCAGGGAAACCGAGUCUUAACUGGGCGUUAAGUUGCAGGGUAUAGACCCGAAACCCGGUGAUCUAGCCAUGGGCAGGUUGAAGGUUGGGUAACACUAACUGGAGGACCGAACCGACUAAUGUUGAAAAAUUAGCGGAUGACUUGUGGCUGGGGGUGAAAGGCCAAUCAAACCGGGAGAUAGCUGGUUCUCCCCGAAAGCUAUUUAGGUAGCGCCUCGUGAACUCAUCUUCGGGGGUAGAGCACUGUUUCGGCUAGGGGGUCAUCCCGACUUACCAACCCGAUGCAAACUACGAAUACCGAAGAAUGUUAUCACGGGAGACACACGGCGGGUGCUAACGUCCGUCGUGAAGAGGGAAACAACCCAGACCGCCAGCUAAGGUCCCAAAGUCAUGGUUAAGUGGGAAACGAUGUGGGAAGGCCCAGACAGCCAGGAUGUUGGCUUAGAAGCAGCCAUCAUUUAAAGAAAGCGUAAUAGCUCACUGGUCGAGUCGGCCUGCGCGGAAGAUGUAACGGGGCUAAACCAUGCACCGAAGCUGCGGCAGCGACACUAUGUGUUGUUGGGUAGGGGAGCGUUCUGUAAGCCGUUGAAGGUGGCCUGUGAGGGUUGCUGGAGGUAUCAGAAGUGCGAAUGCUGACAUAAGUAACGAUAAUGCGGGUGAAAAACCCGCACGCCGGAAGACCAAGGGUUCCUGUCCAACGUUAAUCGGGGCAGGGUGAGUCGACCCCUAAGGCGAGGCCGAAAGGCGUAGUCGAUGGGAAACAGGUUAAUAUUCCUGUACUCGGUGUUACUGCGAAGGGGGGACGGAGAAGGCUAUGUUGGCCGGGCGACGGUUGUCCCGGUUUAAGCAUGUAGGCGGAUGUUCCAGGUAAAUCCGGAACGUCACUAACGCUGAGGUGUGAUGACGAGGCACUACGGUGCUGAAGUGACAAAUGCCCUGCUUCCAGGAAAAGCCUCUAAGCAUCAGGUAACAUCAAAUCGUACCCCAAACCGACACAGGUGGUCAGGUAGAGAAUACCAAGGCGCUUGAGAGAACUCGGGUGAAGGAACUAGGCAAAAUGGUGCCGUAACUUCGGGAGAAGGCACGCUGAUGGUAAGUGAAGCGACUUGCUCGUGGAGCUGAAAUCAGUCGAAGAUACCAGCUGGCUGCAACUGUUUAUUAAAAACACAGCACUGUGCAAACACGAAAGUGGACGUAUACGGUGUGACGCCUGCCCGGUGCCGGAAGGUUAAUUGAUGGGGUUAUCCUCGCGGAGAAGCUCUUGAUCGAAGCCCCGGUAAACGGCGGCCGUAACUAUAACGGUCCUAAGGUAGCGAAAUUCCUUGUCGGGUAAGUUCCGACCUGCACGAAUGGCGUAAUGAUGGCCAGGCUGUCUCCACCCGAGACUCAGUGAAAUUGAACUCGCUGUGAAGAUGCAGUGUACCCGCGGCAAGACGGAAAGACCCCGUGAACCUUUACUAUAGCUUGACACUGAACACUGGUCCUUGAUGUGUAGGAUAGGUGGGAGGCUUUGAAGUGUGGACGCCAGUCUGCAUGGAGCCAUCCUUGAAAUACCACCCUUUAAUGGCUGGUGUUCUAACGUGGGCCCGUAAUCCGGGUUGCGGACAGUGUCUGGUGGGUAGUUUGACUGGGGCGGUCUCCUCCUAAAGAGUAACGGAGGAGCACGAAGGUCAGCUAAUCCUGGUCGGACAUCAGGAGGUUAGUGCAAUGGCAUAAGCUGGCUUGACUGCGAGCGUGACGGCGCGAGCAGGUGCGAAAGCAGGUCAUAGUGAUCCGGUGGUUCUGAAUGGAAGGGCCAUCGCUCAACGGAUAAAAGGUACUCCGGGGAUAACAGGCUGAUACCGCCCAAGAGUUCAUAUCGACGGCGGUGUUUGGCACCUCGAUGUCGGCUCAUCACAUCCUGGGGCUGAAGUAGGUCCCAAGGGUAUGGCUGUUCGCCAUUUAAAGUGGUACGCGAGCUGGGUUUAGAACGUCGUGAGACAGUUCGGUCCCUAUCUGCCGUGGGCGCUGGAGAAUUGAGGGGGGCUGCUCCUAGUACGAGAGGACCGGAGUGGACGCAUCACUGGUGUUCGGGUUGUCAUGCCAAUGGCAUUGCCCGGUAGCUAAAUGCGGAAGAGAUAAGUGCUGAAAGCAUCUAAGCACGAAACUUGCCCCGAGAUGAGUUCUCCCUGACUCCUUGAGAGUCCUGAAGGAACGUUGAAGACGACGACGUUGAUAGGCCGGGUGUGUAAGCGCAGCGAUGCGUUGAGCUAACCGGUACUAAUGAACCGUGAGGCUUAACCUU